GAGAAAAUAGUUAAGUAUAAUAUUGGUUUGUCAGCCCAAAGUUAGCAGUUAUUGCUUUUUUUCA
This 64-nucleotide transfer RNA is filed under the name Bathymodiolus manusensis. RNAcentral describes it as "tRNA-Asp". It matches the Rfam family "tRNA". Rfam says of the family: Transfer RNA (tRNA) molecules are approximately 80 nucleotides in length. Their secondary structure includes four short double-helical elements and three loops (D, anti-codon, and T loops). Lineage: Eukaryota; Metazoa; Mollusca; Bivalvia; Mytilida; Modiolidae. The record is from RNAcentral.